Molecule: ribosomal RNA, 1298 nt
Filed under: metagenome
Description: bacterial SSU rRNA
Rfam family: Bacterial small subunit ribosomal RNA
Source: RNAcentral
GGCCUUGCGCUCUUUGAGCGGCCGAUGUCAGAUUAGCUAGUUGGUGAGGUAACGGCUUACCAAGGCGACGAUCUGUAGCGGGUCUGAGAGGAUGAUCCGCCACACUGGAACUGAGACACGGUCCAGACUCCUACGGGAGGCAGCAGUGGGGAAUUUUGGACAAUGGGGGCAACCCUGAUCCAGCCAUGCCGCGUGAGUGAAGAAGGCCUUCGGGUUGUAAAGCUCUUUCGGCCGGGAAGAAAUCGCAUGGGCCAAUACCCUGUGUGGAUGACGGUACCGGAAUAAGAAGCACCGGCUAACUACGUGCCAGCAGCCGCGGUAAUACGUAGGGUGCGAGCGUUAAUCGGAAUUACUGGGCGUAAAGCGUGCGCAGGCGGUUUUGUAAGACAGGCGUGAAAUCCCCGGGCUCAACCUGGGAACUGCGUUUGUGACUGCAAGGCUAGAGUACGGCAGAGGGGGGUGGAAUUCCACGUGUAGCAGUGAAAUGCGUAGAGAUGUGGAGGAACACCAAUGGCGAAGGCAGCCCCCUGGGUCGAUACUGACGCUCAUGCACGAAAGCGUGGGUAGCAAACAGGAUUAGAUACCCUGGUAGUCCACGCCCUAAACUAUGUCAACUAGGUGUUGGGUGGGUAAAACCAUUUAGUACCGUAGCUAACGCGUGAAGUUGACCGCCUGGGGAGUACGGCCGCAAGGUUAAAACUCAAAGGAAUUGACGGGGACCCGCACAAGCGGUGGAUGAUGUGGAUUAAUUCGAUGCAACGCGAAAAACCUUACCUACCCUUGACAUGCCAGGAACUUGCCAGGGAUGGCUUGGUGCCCGAAAGGGAGCCUGGACACAGGUGCUGCAUGGCUGUCGUCAGCUCGUGUCGUGAGAUGUUGGGUUAAGUCCCGCAACGAGCGCAACCCUUGUCGUUAAUUGCCAUCAUUUAGUUGGGCACUUUAGCGAGACUGCCGGUGACAAACCGGAGGAAGGUGGGGAUGACGUCAAGUCCUCAUGGCCCUUAUGGGUAGGGCUUCACACGUCAUACAAUGGUCGGUACAAAGGGUCGCCAAGCCGCGAGGUGGAGCCAAUCCCAGAAAGCCGAUCGUAGUCCGGAUUGCAGGCUGCAACUCGCCUGCAUGAAGUCGGAAUCGCUAGUAAUCGUUGAUCAGCAUGUCACGGUGAAUACGUUCCCGGGUCUUGUACACACCGCCCGUCACACCAUGGGAGCGGGUUCCGCCAGAAGUAGGUAGCCUAACCGCAAGGAGGGCGCUUACCACGGCGGGGUUCGUGAUUGGGGUGAAGUCGUAACAAGGUA